CAUUACCGAGAGAAAGGGGUCUAACCGGCCCCACUCUUCACCCAUGUAUAUCUACCUCUGUUGCUUUGGCGGGCCGCCCGAGCCUAUCGGCUCGGGCGCUGGUCGAGGGGUUCACGCCCCCAGCCCGGUGAGCGCUCGCCAGAAGCCCCCACUAAAAACCUUUUAUCAUGACGUCUGAGUGAAAAUAAAUAGUUAAAACUUUCAACAACGGAUCUCUUGGUUCUGGCAUCGAUGAAGAACGCAGCGAAAUGCGAUAAGUAAUGUGAAUUGCAGAAUUCAGUGAAUCAUCGAAUCUUUGAACGCACAUUGCGCCCUCUGGUAUUCCGGGGGGCAUGCCUGUCCGAGCGUCGUUACAACCCUCAAGCACUGCUUGGUAUUGGGUCCCGCCUCCCCGGCGCACCCGAAAUGCAGUGGCGGUCCGGCGAGACAUCGAGCGUAGUAAGAUUUAUAUCCCGCUCUUGAUGGCUCUCGCGGUGACUUAGCCAACGACGUAUCUAUUAUCACGAUUGACCUCGGAUCAGGUAGGGAUACCCGCUGAACUUAAGCAUAUCAAUAAGCGGAGGAAAAGAAACCAACAGGGAUUGCCUCAGUAACGGCGAG
This 600-nucleotide small RNA is filed under the name Buellia subnumerosa. RNAcentral describes it as "eukaryotic LSU rRNA". The stretch from base 197 to 350 matches the Rfam family "5.8S ribosomal RNA". Lineage: Eukaryota; Fungi; Ascomycota; Lecanoromycetes; Caliciales; Caliciaceae. The record is from RNAcentral.